UUUUACGUCGGCCUUCGCGAGCGUCUGGGCGGGUGGUAGGUGAGUGGGUAUUGCGGGCUAGUAUCCGAGCAAAAGAUGGUGGCGCAGGCCGAGUUAAGAGCUUUAAUCCUGUGAAGACAUCUUAGUGAAGAGUUUAGAGUGCUGAGAGUUGAAAGCUUGCACGUGGGAAACGUGCGGCCGGACUGCCACAUGUACUGAGGUUGAGUCGUGACGGCCACAGGCUCCGAGUUUUGGCGUGAGGAACCGCUGAUCGGCCACGGGCGCCGAACUUGCUGGCCUCCGGCAUGUGCCUGAGCGGCGGCGGAAAAACCACCUUAAUUGGGGCGGAGGGUUAGUUUUAACAGCAAAGGGCCUUUACUAAAAUGGCGAAGGCCUUCCGUCGGCGUUGUUUUAAAAUGGGAAGCCUCGACCCUGUAUUGAAACUGAGCUGUUCGAAGGCGGCGUUGUGUGCAAUUCGGAUUAAUGAAGGGGAAGGGUUUUGUGUGGAAAAACGCCUUGGAGUGUGACAUUUCUGCGAGAAUGCUUAAAUACCGAUUUCCCGCAGGAACAAUGGCGCUGUCUUCAGUGGCACAGUGGAGCAGCUCUGAAGAUGCAAAGAUACACGAAAAAACUUCCAGAACAUCUGGGAGAAUAUUUAAUGGAAAAUCGCUUGGUUAAAACCUGACACUUUUAACAGUUAGUUGAAUCCAUGGACAUGAAACCCACAGAUAUAGAGGGUUGGCCCGGUGCAGUGGCUCACGCCUGUAAUCCCAGCACUUUGGGAGGCCAAGGCGGGUGGAUCACCUGAGGUCAGAAGCUUGAGACCAGCCUGGCCAACAUGGGUACUGCUUUCUCUUGCUGCAGCUUGCUUCCUCCCUCAGGUAUGAAGUUAAGGUAACAUGAAGGAGGAUAUUGAAUGUUCCUAACACAAAGAAAUGAUAAAUGUUUGAGAUGGUGGAUGUACUAAUUGCCCUGAUCUGAUGACUAUACAUUAUAUAUAUUGAAACAUCAGUAUGUACCCCAUGAAUAUGUACAAUUAUAUGUCAACUUAAACACAUUUAAAAGUAAAAAAAAAAAAAUCCAAAA
This 1065-nucleotide long non-coding RNA is filed under the name Homo sapiens (human). RNAcentral describes it as "small nucleolar RNA host gene 5". The record is from RNAcentral. Lineage: Eukaryota; Metazoa; Chordata; Mammalia; Primates; Hominidae.